UUCUAAUUCAGGUUCGGGACUAGGAGGAUUAGACUUGUGCAAUUUCUUUUUCCUUCUCAACGUCCUCUCAAAAUCACCGUCAAAGUCGAAGAUAUGCUCACGAACAGGUUGUGAGCUACGGGUCAUAAACUAGUACCUGCACACAAGAGCAACAAGGUUAGUAACCAACUCACUAAACUCGGCACAAGUAAGAAAUUAAGGUGCCUAUGCACGGCAUAAAAACAAACACACACACACGGUGCAAAAUUCAAAAACAAAACAGAAAAUGAAACAAUUCAAUUAAGACUCAGGACAAGGGAUUAGCAACUUUGCUAAUCCCCGGCAACGGCGCCAAAAUUUGAUGUGAAAAUUAUGUUGACACACAAAUUAAACCCUAUUUGUGACAAUUGUAGUAACGAUGUAAGUAGGGAUCGUUCUAACCGGGGAUUAACUAGGGGUACUAAUCACUUGAAAACUGAAUUAGAAAUGCAAAAACAAAGUUUAAAACACUAGAUUAGACUCAAAGAAUGCAAAACUAACGUUUAAAAUACUAAAACAAACCAAAAACUCAAAACAGCAACUAAAAGACUCAAAACUGCCUUAAAAACACUUUCUGGGCAGUUUUGAACACAAGCACCAAAUUGGACGAAUUUGGGUUUAACUUGUACCAAAACACUUAAAAACAUAAACCAACAUACUUUCUAACUAAUCUAGGACUUCAAAACAAAUGGGGAUUUGAUUUGGACGAAAAUAACUAAAUGGGCAGAUUGUGAAACAAAAACAGAUUGUAAGAUAAAAUUGUAAUGAAUCAAUGGAUGAUGGAAUAGCUAAGGGGUUCUUCUCCACACAUGAAAUAUAUGCAAUCUAAAUCGAUUUCCAGUUAUCAAUUCAAUAAGUUAUGAACCUCGACACUCCAAGUUAAUUAGGUCCGCUUAAAUUAACCUUCAGAUUUCCCUAGAAUCAUUGAAUUGGAUGAAUAUGCAUCGCAAACAAAUUAUUCCUAACAAGUUCUCUAUAUGAACAGCAUGAUAAAUAUACAAGUUAGAAUCAUUACGUUCUUUGGAAAUCAUAAGCAUCGACAAGGCAUUCGUAACUAUGAAAAGCAUGAUACUCUUGCCAGGAAUCUACUUAACACGAUCGUGACUAGCAACCUUCACUACUUGCGAAUAUAAAUUCAUAACGAUUAGAUGAAACAAACUUAUAUCCUAGCAUCAAAUUCAAGCAUGCAAAUUAAGCGUGCACUCUCAAUCAACAUACAAGAAUAAGUUCUAAAUCAAACGGUUAAGCAAAUUGUAUUCACGACUUAUGCAACGAUAACUGAAAGUAAUCAACUUAUUUCACAUAUAUAACCAUGGUUUUGAAUCCACCCUUAGCCAAAACGAAUUUAGCCAAUCAUACUUAAAGCAAAACAAAGAUUACAUGAAUUAGACAUUGAAAUAUAAGAUAGAAAACACCUAAAAUCGUUCAACAACUCAGAUUGAAAGGCCAAACUAUUGUAGAGAAUCUGUCCCCUUUGUUGCUUGCAGCAGAUUGUAUGGUGAUGCUUCUUGGAUUGUUUUGAUGACGUAGAAUGGAAUUUGGGGGGUGUAGAGGCACAACAAGGGGUGUAGGAUGAGUGUGGAUGAGUGUUUGAUGGGUGGAAGAUGGUGGAAAGCUCGGCAAGAACGGUGGAGGGGUGCGGCAGGUUGUAGAACUAGGUUUUCUGGAAUGUAGAAUGAAUAUGGCAGAUGGUGGUUCGGCCUAGGUGUUAUAAUGUGUAUAUAUAGGGAUCAAAAACCCUAGGGCAAUCAGAUUAGGGCCUCUAAAACCCAAAUCCAUCAGAAAUUAGGUUGAAACAAUCAGAUUUUUAGUAGGGAAAAGGCCUAGGGUGCGGCUGGUUUGCUAGGGUUAGAGAUGGGCCUUCUAGAAUGCCUUGCAAGGCAAGGAGAUCAGAUUUCUAAAGCCCUAGGUGCGACAAGGGUUAAGGGGGAAAGGCUAGGUCAUCUAAAAGCCCAAAGCCAAGAAUAGAAACUCUCGAAAAUGGAAACCUCCAAGAAUAGAAACUUCCAACUUUAGAAACUUUGGUUUCCAAUUCCGAAUUCUUUGUUCUUCACUUUCAUUUCUUCCUUUCUUAAGCUCCUUUGACCUUCAAACUCGUCAUUUCUUGUGCUCCAUAAGCAUACACAACAUUCCAGCUCAAUUUUGCUCUAAAAUGCUCCAUUUCGCACUUAUUUGCAUCAUUUGUCUCUAAACCUGAAAUUGCAUGAAACUGACUUUAAACAUUGAAAUAACUCAAGAAAAACAACAUAAAUGCAUGAGAACAGGCCCACUAAGUCGCAAAUAUGCUCCUAUCAAUAAAGACCACUUGCUUACCUACCCAAAGGCCAAGUGGUAUAGACUGACCAGCUACCCAGCCUAUAAAGUACUUUAUGAGUCAUCACCCUUCAAACCGCAUUCGGGCAAAGUUGUUGCUACAGGAGACCAAGUCGAGUUGUCUAUAUAAGAAGAAAGAGAAACCAGGAAUAAGGACACUCAAUCAAACAAACAAAUGCAAGCACAAACUCUGCUCAAAGCCAGAUUUGCCUUCAAAACGAAGCUGUAGUCAGCCCAAGCCUUCAUCCCUCUCGGGACAAGCCUUCAUCCCUCACGGAAUAAACCUUCACUCAAACCCUUGUAAUAGCUCUGCUACCUUGUUCAACCUUGAUGUAGUAUCGAUUCAUCUUUUGUAAUCUCUCUCUCUCUAAAGCUUUCAGACCCUUGAUAAACUACAAAGAUAGGAACCUGCAAGACGACCAGGCUUG
RNAcentral lists this long non-coding RNA (2759 nucleotides) under Malus domestica (apple). RNAcentral's name for it is "long non-coding RNA (MDOM_LNC003970)". The record is from RNAcentral. Lineage: Eukaryota; Viridiplantae; Streptophyta; Magnoliopsida; Rosales; Rosaceae.